This 35-nucleotide small RNA is filed under the name Arabidopsis thaliana (thale cress). Its description in RNAcentral is "ATSL009090". The record is from RNAcentral. Lineage: Eukaryota; Viridiplantae; Streptophyta; Magnoliopsida; Brassicales; Brassicaceae.
UAUAUGUCAUAAGGAUCUGCUUCUUGUGGCUUAGC